Molecule: ribosomal RNA, 758 nt
Filed under: uncultured bacterium
Lineage: Bacteria
Description: bacterial SSU rRNA
Rfam family: Bacterial small subunit ribosomal RNA
Source: RNAcentral
UAGUGGCGAACGGGUGAGUAACGCGUGGGAAACCUGCCCUUCAGCGGGGGAUAACAGGCCUAACGGCCUGCUAAUACCGCAUACGUCCCCUGGUCCGCAUGGUCCGGGGAAGAAAAGUGGCCUCUCUUUGAAGCUGCUACUGAAGGAUGGUCCCGCGUCCCAUUAGCUUGUUGGUGGGGUAAUGGCCUACCAAGGCGACGAUGGGUAGCCGGCCUGAGAGGGUGUCCGGCCACACUGGGACUGAGAUACGGCCCAGACUCCUACGGGAGGCAGCAGUCGAGAAGCUUCGGCAAUGGGCGAAAGCCUGACCGAGCGACGCCGCGUGAGCGAAUGAAGGCCCUAUGGGUUGUAAAGCUCUGUCAGAUUGGGAAGAAAACUUCACGAUUAAUACCCGUGAAGCUUGACGGUACCAUCAGAGGAAGCACCGGCUAACUCCGUGCCAGCAGCCGCGGUAAUACGGAGGGUGCAAGCGUUGUUCGGAUUCACUGGGUAUAAAGGGUGCGCAGGCGGCCUGAUAAGUCAGGGGUGAAAUAUGUCGGCUUAACCGGCAAACGGCCCCUGAAACUGCCAGGCUUGAGUCCGGGAGAGGAUGGUGGAAUUCCUGGUGUAGCGGUGAAAUGCGUAAAUAUCAGGAGGAACACCUAUGGCGAAGGCAGCCAUCUGGCCCGGUACUGACGCUCAGGCACGAAAGCUAGGGGAGCGAACAGGAUUAGAUACCCUGGUAGUCCUAGCCGUAAACGAUGGGCACUAGGUGUUGG